Molecule: long non-coding RNA, 811 nt
Organism: Sebastes umbrosus (honeycomb rockfish)
Lineage: Eukaryota; Metazoa; Chordata; Actinopteri; Perciformes; Sebastidae
Exons: 2
Source: RefSeq, a predicted model, not a curated record
UUUUUCAGAUUACCUGUCUCAUGAACUUCUGUCAGGAUAUAGUGACCAUUUUAUAAAAAUAACUUUUUUUAAUCAGAUUUGCUCCAAUUCUACCCACUGCUGCUUUAAAAUCUUACUGGUUACAAACUUAAAAAAAGCUCCUCCAGAGCUACAGAAUUAUAGACCUACUGUUUUCAUUGGCUGAAUGACUAAUACUAAUCAUGACUAAUAACCGACUUUCAUGUAUAACAUCAGUGGAGCUGUUUUGAUGCUGUUAAUGCUAUUGAUUCAAUAUGCACAGGAGAAAUGCUGUCAAGUGCAGUACAAUGUUAGUUAGUGGCAAGUGGCAACUCUAAUCAGCCGUCCAACUUAGUCAGUAACUGGCAUAUCAGAGCUGUUCAGGCAGCUUCCACGGCUCCACACACAAUCACUCCUCACCCCAUGCCUCCAGCUACUGGUGAAGCAUUCAAAUAACAACAAAAGGCUAGAGCUGAAAGGACGAUCGGGACAUUGGGGGUGCUCUACAACGAUCGCACAUUGGGCCUUUAGUAUAGAGAACAUUCAUCUGACUCCGUUCUUGUGAAACCUCCAUCCUCCAUCCACAGCCUCAGUCAGAAAGCCUCCAGGAAACAGAGACCAGCUGCCGGAAGAGCUGCUCGAAGGCAGACAAAAACACCUCCUAGUACGCCUUGCUGGCCCACAGUGACACCUCCCAGAAGUCUUCCUAUCGGCCACUCGAGAGCGUGACUGAGAGCUGUCCCCCAAGGCAACAGCCUGCGGUGCUGCACUGCAAUAUAUACCUGUCUUACCAAUGAAAUAAUUUUAAUAACGA